AAUUUUCCUGCUGGGCAGCGCGUUACAGAGUAUAGUGGUUUGCAGCUUAUCUAGGCCAAAUUUUGAAUUCUGGUAAACAGGAUGUGCGCGCUUACUCCGUGCCGAUUUGAAUGAGAAGACUUUGCACCAUAAAACAACAAUAAUAACCUCGGGAUUUAUUAACUUUGAAUGCAUGGUGUUGAUUGCAUCAUCCGUAUUUUCAAAUUCCCCCAUUCAAAAGACCCGCCUUUGGUGAAGGCAAAGGUGUUGUGCUAUUCGUUCCGAGGGGCGGAUUCCUUAUCAGCCUUUUCAGUGUAUGUGAUUCUAACUAAGUCU
Saccostrea cuccullata (small rock oyster) is the source of this 315-nucleotide long non-coding RNA. RefSeq lists it as uncharacterized. The record is from RefSeq and is a predicted model, not a curated record. Lineage: Eukaryota; Metazoa; Mollusca; Bivalvia; Ostreida; Ostreidae. The transcript is spliced from 3 exons.